This is a long non-coding RNA of Passer domesticus (house sparrow), 720 nucleotides long. RefSeq lists it as uncharacterized. The transcript is spliced from 3 exons. The record is from RefSeq and is a predicted model, not a curated record. NCBI's taxonomy places the organism in Eukaryota, Metazoa, Chordata, Aves, Passeriformes, Passeridae.
GAAUCUUUGUGACUGUGUGACAGUUCUGGGAUCUUCAGGCUGGAUUUGUAACUAAUAGUGAUGGAAACAAGAGACAGGAGACCUGCAGGUUUUAAUUCUGAGGUCAGGAUUCUCAUCAGGUAAAAUCUGGUUGAACGCGUGGAACAGGGGCAAAUAGAAUGUGCAAUUAAAAAAGGUUUGCUGGUAUCGCUAGUCUGACCAUGCAUCCUAAGUCUAAUGAGUGCACUAAAAAGUGAAAAAAAAAGCCAUUUGAAUGGACUCAUUCUCUUUUUUGGCUAUAUUGUAAUUUUCCCUUCUUUUCCUUCAUUAGUGUCUACAUUAAAAGGGAAUACACCAAUGGGUAAAGAUUUGAUAACUUCACAGCAUACCUGCAAUGACAGUGUUGUUUAGACUUUGAGCAAUUGGUCAAUGUUAUAAAUCUAAUUUAAGAAAAAGUGAAUGACAGUAGGCCUUAAUUAAUGCUUGAGAAGAUUAAUUGUUUCAAGGGGAGUGUAUCAAUUUUAAUACUUUUCUCUUUUAAAUCUGGAAUUAUUUUGCCACAGGGCACUACAGCUUUGAAAUAUGCAAAGCAUUUCCACAUAAUUUUUAGUAUUGUGGCGCUUAUAGUGCUCAUACUAUUAGAGUGAUGUUUCCCUUUAAGUGUCUUGUUUACACAUGCACUGUGUAUUUGUUGACUAAUUUAAGCUUAUAGAAAAUGUUGCAUGCCUGAGGAUAUUUUCA